This 58-nucleotide microRNA precursor is filed under the name Simian foamy virus. RNAcentral describes it as "microRNA sfv-mir-S1 precursor". Its record names the gene sfv-mir-S1. Lineage: Riboviria; Pararnavirae; Artverviricota; Revtraviricetes; Ortervirales; Retroviridae. The record is from miRBase by way of RNAcentral.
AGGGAGUAUUUGGUGGAAACGACUGAGUGACAUGAAGUUUAUUCACCAUACUCUCAAU